AGCGAACGCUGGCGGCAGGCUUAACACAUGCAAGUCGAACGGGCGUAGCAAUACGUCAGUGGCAGACGGGUGAGUAACGCGUGGGAACGUACCUUUUGGUUCGGAACAACCCAGGGAAACUUGGGCUAAUACCGGAUAAGCCCUUACGGGGAAAGAUUUAUCGCCGAAAGAUCGGCCCGCGUCUGAUUAGCUAGUUGGUGAGGUAACGGCUCACCAAGGCGACGAUCAGUAGCUGGUCUGAGAGGAUGAUCAGCCACAUUGGGACUGAGACACGGCCCAAACUCCUACGGGAGGCAGCAGUGGGGAAUAUUGGACAAUGGGCGCAAGCCUGAUCCAGCCAUGCCGCGUGAGUGAUGAAGGCCCUAGGGUUGUAAAGCUCUUUUGUGCGGGAAGAUAAUGACGGUACCGCAAGAAUAAGCCCCGGCUAACUUCGUGCCAGCCGCCGCCGUAAC
This 452-nucleotide ribosomal RNA is filed under the name uncultured bacterium. RNAcentral describes it as "bacterial SSU rRNA". It matches the Rfam family "Bacterial small subunit ribosomal RNA", at positions 29 to 524 of the family's 1533-position model. The record is from RNAcentral.